GGACAGGUGGCAGAGUGGUUGAAUGCACCAGUCUCGAAAACUGGCGUACCCGCAAGGGUAUCGAGAGUUCGAAUCUCUCCCUGUCCG
RNAcentral lists this transfer RNA (87 nucleotides) under Gemmatimonadaceae bacterium. Its description in RNAcentral is "tRNA-Ser". It matches the Rfam family "tRNA". Rfam says of the family: Transfer RNA (tRNA) molecules are approximately 80 nucleotides in length. Their secondary structure includes four short double-helical elements and three loops (D, anti-codon, and T loops). Lineage: Bacteria; Pseudomonadati; Gemmatimonadota; Gemmatimonadia; Gemmatimonadales; Gemmatimonadaceae. The record is from RNAcentral. RNAcentral also lists the same sequence under 2 other names.